RNAcentral lists this transfer RNA (73 nucleotides) under Ailuropoda melanoleuca (giant panda). It matches the Rfam family "tRNA". Rfam says of the family: Transfer RNA (tRNA) molecules are approximately 80 nucleotides in length. Their secondary structure includes four short double-helical elements and three loops (D, anti-codon, and T loops). Lineage: Eukaryota; Metazoa; Chordata; Mammalia; Carnivora; Ursidae. The record is from Rfam by way of RNAcentral.
GCCUGGCUGGCUCAGUGGGUGGAGCAUGUGACUCUUGAUCUCGGGAUUGUGAGUUCAAACCCCAGGCUGGGUG